RNAcentral lists this ribosomal RNA (468 nucleotides) under uncultured bacterium. RNAcentral describes it as "partial 16S ribosomal RNA". It matches the Rfam family "Bacterial small subunit ribosomal RNA", at positions 28 to 507 of the family's 1533-position model. The record is from RNAcentral.
GACGAACGCUGGCGGCGUGCUUAACACAUGCAAGUCGAACGGAAAGGCCCUGCUUUUGUGGGGUGCUCGAGUGGCGAACGGGUGAGUAACACGUGAGUAACCUGCCCUUGACUUUGGGAUAACUUCAGGAAACUGGGGCUAAUACCGGAUAGGAGCUCCUGCUGCAUGGUGGGGGCUGGAAAGUUUCGGCGGUUGGGGAUGGACUCGCGGCUUAUCAGCUUGUUGGUGGGGUAGUGGCUUACCAAGGCUUUGACGGGUAGCCGGCCUGAGAGGGUGACCGGCCACAUUGGGACUGCGGUACGGCCCAGACUCCUACGGGAGGCAGCAGUGGGGAAUAUUGCACAAUGGGCGGAAGCCUGAUGCAGCAGCGCCGCGUGCGGGAUGACGGCCUUCGGGUUGUAAACCGCUUUCGCCUGUGACGAAGCGUGAGUGACGGUAAUGGGUAAAGAAGCACCGGCUAACUACGUG